Molecule: small RNA, 121 nt
Filed under: uncultured Paenibacillus sp.
Lineage: Bacteria; Bacillati; Bacillota; Bacilli; Caryophanales; Paenibacillaceae
Description: ydaO/yuaA leader
Rfam family: c-di-AMP riboswitch aptamer (ydaO/yuaA leader) (bases 6-113)
About the family: This family represents a conserved RNA structure found upstream of the ydaO and yuaA genes in Bacillus subtilis and related genes in other bacteria. The ydaO/yuaA element is thought to act as a genetic "off" switch for the ydaO and yuaA genes in its native state.
Source: RNAcentral
UCAUGGCCGAAUUCCCUCCACGGGGAACGGGGGAACCACUUUGGGUGAAUUGAUCUCGCUAGAGAGGGAUCAUAGGGAACCUUCAACCGAAUCCUUAAGCUAACCUCGUAGGCAAUCGGAA